Molecule: non-coding RNA, 72 nt
Organism: Dallia pectoralis (Alaska blackfish)
Lineage: Eukaryota; Metazoa; Chordata; Actinopteri; Esociformes; Umbridae
Source: the annotation of a GenBank genome assembly
GAGUUGGUAGCUUAGUGGUAAAGUGCUUACGGUGUAUGUAUGUUGUCCUGGGUUCAAUCCCCAGCUUCUCCC